GUUUUAAUUGAUGUAAACAAAGGGUUGAGUUUUUUUAUACUAUAAAAUGGUUACAAAAACCUCUGUUUUUUACAUGCCAAUGAGGAAAAAUAUGACUGAAAAUUUCAAGUUUGUUUAUGCUAUGAUGCUCUUUCUUUCCCUAUUUCUUGUUGUAACUGAAGGCAUACCCUCUCUCCAAUGUAUAUAUGACACAGAUUGUCCACAUGUGUGUCCCAAAUUUGCGUAUUGCAGUUUAGAAAGUUGUUAUUGCGGCUUAUAGUUCAAAACCAAACGAAUAAUACAAUCCACGUGUCGUUUCCAUUAUUAUUUACAAGACAUGGUCAUCAAGAAUAUUGCUGAAUAAUUAUAAUCAACUACUUCAUUGUUUUGUUGUUUUGGUUUUUUUUCUUUGCGGUGGUGUUUUGAUGUAGUGUAAUUUUAAUAUUUUGACUGUAUUUAAUAUUAUAGUUUCGGAUAUAUGGAUAUUUAGAAAGCAUGGAGUUUUUAA
Cicer arietinum (chickpea) is the source of this 487-nucleotide non-coding RNA. The record is from RefSeq and is a predicted model, not a curated record. Lineage: Eukaryota; Viridiplantae; Streptophyta; Magnoliopsida; Fabales; Fabaceae.